AGUCAAGUAAUUAAGUGCAUGUGGUGGAUGCCUUGGCAGUCAGAGGCGAUGAAAGACGUGAUAGCCUGCGAAAAGCUCCGGGGAGGCGGCAAAUAUCCUUUGAUCCGGAGAUGUCUGAAUGGGGGAACCCACCUACUUUAAGGUAGGUAUUGCAACAUGAAUACAUAGUGUUGCAAGGCGAACGAGGGGAAGUGAAACAUCUCAGUACCCUUAGGAAAAGAAAUCAAUUGAGAUUCCCUCAGUAGCGGCGAGCGAACGGGGAUCAGCCCAUUAAGUUAUGUGUGUUUUAGUGGAACGCUCUGGGAAGUGCGAACGUAGAGGGUGAUAUUCCCGUACACGAAAGGGCACACAUAAUGAUGACGAGUAGGGCGAGGCACGUGAAACCUUGUCUGAAUAUGGGGGGACCAUCCUCCAAGGCUAAAUACUCCUGACUGACCGAUAGUGAACCAGUACCGUGAGGGAAAGGCGAAAAGAACCCCUGUGAGGGGAGUGAAAUAGAUCCUGAAACCGCAUGCAUACAAGCAGUGGGAGCACCUUCGUGGUGUGACUGCGUACCUUUUGUAUAAUGGGUCAGCGACUUAUAUUCAGUAGCGAGGUUAACCGUAUAGGGGAGCCGUAGAGAAAUCGAGUCUUAAUAGGGCGUUUAGUUGCUGGGUAUAGACCCGAAACCAGGCGAUCUAUCCAUGAGCAGGUUGAAGGUUGGGUAACACUAACUGGAGGACCGAACCCACUGUCGUUGAAAAGCCAGGGGAUGACUUGUGGAUAGGGGUGAAAGGCUAAUCAAGCCUGGUGAUAGCUGGUUCUCCCCGAAAGCUAUUUAGGUAGCGCCUCGGACGAAUACCAUAGGGGGUAGAGCACUGUUUCGGCUAGGGGGUCAUCCCGACUUACCAAACCGAUGCAAACUCCGAAUACCUAUGAGUACUAUCCGGGAGACAGACUGCGGGUGCUAACGUCCGUAGUCAAGAGGAAAACAAUCCAGACCGCCAGCUAAGGCCCCAAAAUCAUAGUUAAGUGGGAAACGAUGUGGGAAGGCAUAGACAGCUAGGAGGUUGGCUUAGAAGCAGCCACCCUUUAAAGAAAGCGUAAUAGCUCACUAGUCGAGUCGGCCUGCGCGGAAGAUGUAACGGGGCUAAAACUAUGUGCCGAAGCUGCGGAUGUAUACUUUGUAUACGUGGUAGGGGAGCGUUCUGUAAGCCGAUGAAGGUGUGUUGAGAAGCAUGCUGGAGGUAUCAGAAGUGCGAAUGCUGACGUGAGUAACGACAAAACGGGUGAAAAACCCGUUCGCCGAAAGACCAAGGGUUCCAGUCCAACGUUAAUCGGGGCUGGGUGAGUCGACCCCUAAGGCGAGGCCGAAAGGCGUAGUCGAUGGGAAAAUGGUUAAUAUUCCAUUACUUCUGUGUAAUGCGAUGAGAGGACGGAGAAGGCUAAAUCAGCCUGGCGUUGGUUGUCCAGGUGAAAGGAUGUAGGCAUGUAUCUUAGGCAAAUCCGGGGUACUCUAUGCUGAGAUCUGAUAGCAAGCUGUACUUGUACAGCGAAGUGGUUGAUGCCAUGCUUCCAGGAAAAGUCUCUAAGCUUCAGUUACACAGGAAUCGUACCCGAAACCGACACAGGUGGUCAGGUCGAGUAGACCAAGGCGCUUGAGAGAACUCUGCUGAAGGAACUAGGCAAAAUGGUACCGUAACUUCGGGAGAAGGUACGCUGUUGUUGGUGAUGGAACUCGCUUCCUGAGCUGACGAUAGCCGCAGAAACCAGGCCGCUGCAACUGUUUAUUAAAAACAUAGCACUCUGCAAACACGAAAGUGGACGUAUAGGGUGUGAUGCCUGCCCGGUGCUGGAAGGUUAAUUGAUGGGGUUAGCGUAAGCGAAGCUCUUGAUCGAAGCCCCAGUAAACGGCGGCCGUAACUAUAACGGUCCUAAGGUAGCGAAAUUCCUUGUCGGGUAAGUUCCGACCUGCACGAAUGGCAUAAUGAUGGCGGCGCUGUCUCCAGCAGAGGCUCAGUGAAAUCGAAAUCGCUGUGAAGAUGCAGUGUACCCGCGGCUAGACGGAAAGACCCCGUGAACCUUUACUGCAGCUUGACACUGAACUUUGACCUUACUUGUGUAGGAUAGGUGGGAGGCUUUGAAGCUGGAACGCUAGUUCCAGUGGAGCCGUCCUUGAAAUACCACCCUGGUAAUGUUGAGGUUCUAACUCUGUCCCGUGAUCCGGGACGAGGACCGUGUCUGGUGGGUAGUUUGACUGGGGCGGUCUCCUCCUAAAGAGUAACGGAGGAGUACGAAGGUGCGCUCAGCGUGGUCGGAAAUCACGCGUAGAGUAUAAAGGCAAAAGCGCGCUUAACUGCGAGACCCACAAGUCGAGCAGGUACGAAAGUAGGUCUUAGUGAUCCGGUGGUUCUGUAUGGAAGGGCCAUCGCUCAACGGAUAAAAGGUACUCUGGGGAUAACAGGCUGAUACCGCCCAAGAGUUCAUAUCGACGGCGGUGUUUGGCACCUCGAUGUCGGCUCAUCUCAUCCUGGGGCUGAAGCAGGUCCCAAGGGUAUGGCUGUUCGCCAUUUAAAGAGGUACGCGAGCUGGGUUUAGAACGUCGUGAGACAGUUCGGUCCCUAUCUACCGUGGGCGCUGGAAAUUUGAGAGGAUCUGCUCCUAGUACGAGAGGACCAGAGUGGACGAACCUCUGGUGUACCGGUUGUGACGCCAGUCGCAUCGCCGGGUAGCUAUGUUCGGAAGGGAUAACCGCUGAAAGCAUCUAAGCGGGAAGCCUACCUCAAGAUAAGAUUUCCCUAGGACUUUAUGUCCUCUAAAGAGCCGUUCGAGACUAGGACGUUGAUAGGUUGGAUGUGGAAGCAUAGUGAUAUGUGAAGCUGACCAAUACUAAUUGCUCGUGAGGCUUGACUAU
RNAcentral lists this ribosomal RNA (2893 nucleotides) under Acinetobacter baumannii. RNAcentral's name for it is "23S ribosomal RNA". It matches the Rfam family "Bacterial large subunit ribosomal RNA". The record is from RNAcentral. Lineage: Bacteria; Pseudomonadati; Pseudomonadota; Gammaproteobacteria; Moraxellales; Moraxellaceae.